Molecule: long non-coding RNA, 1705 nt
Organism: Drosophila navojoa
Lineage: Eukaryota; Metazoa; Arthropoda; Insecta; Diptera; Drosophilidae
Source: RefSeq, a predicted model, not a curated record
UGCAAACUGCAAACAUUUCAAUUGGAGUAAGCGAACUUUCGCAAAGGCAAAAAUUUCCACGACGAAUGAACAGGAACACACACGAACAAGAAAACGAUGACGACGUUGUUGUUGGCAGUAUGUAUGUAUGUAUAUACAUUUAUAUAUGUGUGUGUAUUUAGGAACUUCUUUUUAAGCUAUUGAACGAAUUUAGAGCGAAGCACAAAAACGUAAUGAAAACGACACCACAAGCACAACAAUUUAUGAGACGAAAACUUUACUGCUGCUGCUGCUUCCUUUUAUUUAUUAUUAUUAUUAUUUUUUUUUUUAUGUAAUUUGUUUGGCCUUUUGCGGUGUAUUAUUUAAUCGCACAGAGAGCAAAGCGCGAACACAUAUAUUGAUAAUCAAAACAUACAUACACACACAAGUUUGGGGCGUUUCGCAUGUAUAUAUGAGUGUGUGUGUGUGUGUUUUUGUGUGCGUGCGUCUGUUUUGAGCGAAACGCGUGCACAAUCGAAACGAAACGAAACGUCCGGUUUCAAAGCGUCACAAAAACUAAUCAGAAGUGAAAAGCACAAAAUGAUGUGGGCCCCAACAAGCCAGCAGCAGGCAGCCGCAGCCGCAGCACCAGCGCACGAGAGAGCUCCGAAUAGACCAACAGCAAGUGAGAGAGCGAGCCGAGUCAAGUCGAGCCGAUUCGAUGUUAUAUGCAUAAUGGGGCCAAAGCAGCGCAGCCGCCGCUCAAUGAGAUUUGUGGUUAUUGUUGUUGCUCGGCUCGGUUGCUUCUGGCGCCUUCAAUUUUUUUUUUUUUUCUUUACAAGGCGAACAAGUUGUGCGUCAGGUCGUGAGAGCAAACAGAGGCAGAGAGAGAGAGAGAGAGAGAGAGAGCGCAAGCGAGCGAGCGAAUGCACACAAGAGAACGAACCUAAGCGCCUGGUAAUUGUAGGUUUUAAUGCUUCAUAAUUGUUGUUGUUGCUGUCUGUAUAUAUGUAUGUACAUACAUACAUAUGUAAUAGUGUCUAGGUUUUGCCGUAGACAUAAAUGGCAUCCACAUAACAAUGCCCGCCGACCCCUUGCAGCUAAAUGCUGCCUUCCACAACAAUUCAAUCCACACAGAGGAAGAGAGAGAGAGAGAGAGAGAGCGCGCGCCAGCAAACGGUUUGUUUUCGUUGCUCUUUUUCUGUUUUUGUUUUAAAGAGGCACCCGCAUUCCUAACUGUAAACAAGCAAGAAGAAGAAUGCAUGCGCUGCCGCUGCCUGGAAAAACUCGUUUUUCCCGCUGGAAAAAUGUGUGCACACACACAAACACACGUGAAAUACACAGCAACAAAAAAACAACACAAAAAGAAUUUAAAGAAUUUGUAGCCCACAAGAGAGCGCGUAAAACGACGUCGACUUCGAGAUGUAAAAAUAAACAACAAAACUCGGGUGGAAAAACACGAAGCAUACACGCAUACACACACACUCAUGGAUACGCACACGCAUAUCGAGCGUGCAUAGGUAGACGAGACAAGGACAAGGAAGCGGAGAACAAAACAAAAUGUAUGUGUGUGCGUGUGUAUGUGUUGAACGAAAACGAAGGCAAAAGACAAGACACAACACAGGAGACAAUAAUAACACUACUAAAAGCAACAACAACGACUGGGAAAAAGCCUGUAGUAAACAAAACAAAUGGCGGGCGCGGCUGCGACGGCAACUGAGACGCCGACGGCGACGUCAACGUCAAU